RNAcentral lists this small RNA (3066 nucleotides) under Pan troglodytes (chimpanzee). RNAcentral describes it as "processed transcript". Lineage: Eukaryota; Metazoa; Chordata; Mammalia; Primates; Hominidae. The record is from RNAcentral.
AGAUUAGCCAGAAGACUAGAGAGAUCUCUGUCUUCAGUCCCUAUCUGUGCUCUUUUCCAUUCCUGGGUCAAUACUGCUGAAGUAGUCUGAGAAGGAAAUAAAUAAAGACUGCACCCUGUCUCAGGAGAAAAGAAUUGGGAGAAUAUCUAAAUCUCUUCUAUAUAUGAGGUGAAGGGCCAUGCCUGGCAGACUACAUGGGGAAUCAGAGGAUCAAGAGGAGUGAAGAGAGGAUCCCUGGAGGAAUGCCCGUCCUCCCUCCACUGACAGCAGCCACAGUUACUAACAGGGUCUUUCUGAUGAGGAGAAUCUGACAGGACCCAGUUGAGCAAGGACUGGAACUGCUUUUGGGGAAUAGGAAAGACAACUGAAAACAAAAAGUCUACCUGAACCUCUUCCAAAAAAAAAGGGAAUACAUUGGAGAAAAAAACACAGUAGUUGAAAUUUCAGUCCUCAGUGGAGGAAAGUUGCUACUGGUCUGUAAGUAGGUCUUUUUCUCUCACCCUUCAACCACAUCAUUGCCUUUCUCUAGUUCUCUUUCUCCCCUCACCUCCUCUUUCUCCCUCUCCUUCUCUUUCUCUGGAAGACAAGUAAAUUUUUGUAAUGUGCAUUGCAAGAGGGCAAGGGUUUUGCCUUGAUUCCUCAUGAGUAACAAUUAUCAAUGAGUUUUAUUGGAUAUAUGAGAUUCUUGAAUCCUCCUCCCCAGUGUGUCUGUGCUUAGAACAUUUAUCUUUCAGAUCCAAUAUAUCACAGGUUUUGAUAUGCAAACAAAGCUUUAUUAAUGAGUCAAAAGAUUGCUGGUAUUAGAGCAUAUAAUCUAGCAACAAUAUUGACACCUAAAAUACUUUUCCUGAACAUUAUUUUCUCAUUAAUUGGACAGCUUCUAAGCGCACAUGGUGUCCUGUGAAUUAUGUUAGCUAUUAAGAAACAAAAAUAAAAAGAAUAUUGUUGUUGAUUUGAGGACCUCAAAGUUUGGGUAGGAAAAAUACAAAUAUGCACUCCAGAACACAUUCUUCUAAACUGUAGAGCAGUGAGGAAUGGAAUAAAAGACAUGUAUGGGCAGUAAGAUACUUGGUCCUGUAAGGAAGCAUUAGAUAAAGAGAAGGUCUGGGCAGUAGGCCUUGCACAGCCACACACACACAUGCACACACAUACAUACCCACAGCAUAAAAGUUGUGUCCCGCCUGGGAAUAAAUCAAAUAAGAGAAUUCACUGUGUUUCCCAUUAUUCAUCCAAUACCUGAUAAUAGUGAGCGAUUUGUUUUAGAAUAUUCUUCUAAAUACAAGAUUCUGUGCUUCAGUAACAACUUACAAGUAUGUGUUACUUUGUUUUGACCAUACAAGGAAAAUUUCUCAAGUAUCUAAUACCAAGACUGUCCCAAAUGUCCGAAUGUUUUAAAUUUAACUGAAAGCAUCUGAGAUUAAGCCCUGUCAUACUCAAGCAGAAUUCUGCAGAGCUCUCUCCGUUCAUUUCUCUUCUCCAUCUUGCAAAAAAAAUGAUAAAUUAGUAUUUAAUUCCUGGAUAUCCUGGAAUUGAAACCUACUGAUUAAAAAAUAAGCAUGUACCACAUAUAAGAAGCAAUAGUUAAAAGCAUAUAAUCAAUAAUUUAAUUAGAAAUUUCUCAAAAGUGAAAAGCCAUCUGUUAAGAUCCGAGUAGAUACACCUUUUUCUUUAUUACUCAAAGAAGAAGGACUCUCUAAAAUCUCAUUCUCUCAUACAUUUAAACAUAAGAAAAAUGGCUUGACUUGAAAUGUGAAUAACCAUAUACCUAUGGAAGAAUCUUACAAUUAUAAAGAUAUAACAUGCUUGUAAGGUAAAUUUAAGCCACCACCUCUUAGGAAAUAUUAAAAAUCUGAAAGUUUUAACAAUAUGUUAUAUUAACAUAUACUUAUCAAAACACCAAAACUUUGAGGACUAGUUAUUUUCAAGAUCACAUCAUUUGUAUGACAAAUCCAGAUGUCUACAGUAAGCUGUUAGAAGAUAACCUUGGGUGCCAGGAAAAGGACAUAUUGAGGGAUUUAGAGUACAUACCUCCCUGAGAUUAAGAAAAUUUUCCAUAAGUCUUGUCUUCCCAAAGAACAUGGUAAAAAGUUCAUAUUUUAAAAGUAUUUGCCUGAAAAAUCUGUUUUGCUUCACUUAUAUGUAAUUUUUAGACAUUUAUAAACAAUGUCAAAACAAUAUCGGCAUAUAUUUAUUUGAAAAACAAGGUGAACAAGUUAACUUUGGUUUUAUCUCACCAAAAUAGGUAAUAUUAGUGAGGAUUUCCUCUAGAACUGUGCUGUGCAAUAUGAGUCACAUACUUAAUUUUAAACUUUUUAGUACACAUGUUGAAAAAGUAGAAACAGACAAAAUUAGUUCUAAUAAUAUAUUUUAUUUAGUCCAACAUAUCCAAAAUAUUAUCAUUUCAACACAUAACAAAUACAAGAUAAUCAUUAAUGUGAUAUUGCACAUUCCUUUUCUGUACUAAGUCUUUGAAACACGCUGAGUAUUUUACACUUAACAUACAUUUUAAUUCAGACUACCCAGAUUCCAAGCAUUCAAUAGCCACGUGAGGCUAGUGACUAUGGUAUUAAUCAGUACUACUCUAGAAAUUUUGCUUUGAAAGUCAGAUAUGGAUAGAAAAUAAAGUUAAUUAGAAAAUAUGUAUUCUUGAAAUACAUCUUAUAAUAUAAUACAGUUAUAUUUAUAUUAUUUUGUUUUGGCUAUAAUUUUUCUUUUUUAUAUGUUUUGCCAAGGAAGUCAGGGUUUUAGAGGAGAGUAAAGAUUUUUUUUUUUAAUGCUGCAAUAACAUGAGUGCUAAAUCUUGGAAACCAAGGUGAGAAGAUUUAUUUUUAAAAGAAGUUUUAGUUACUGGGUUUUUAAGACAUAUGGUCCUGAAAUCCCACAGCAACAGACUUGAAGAAGAGUCAAACUUAAGAUCCUAAGGAAGAAUGUAAAUGGGUAUUUACUCAUAACAAGUAAGGAAUAUUAGCAUUAGAGUAAUCGACAGACAUUAAUACGUUAAAGGUUUAUCAGAAGGUAAAUGAUAAACAUUAUUUGUAAUUCAUUAAAUUUUUCUUUACAUCAUUU